Molecule: ribosomal RNA, 253 nt
Filed under: uncultured bacterium
Lineage: Bacteria
Description: partial 16S ribosomal RNA
Rfam family: Bacterial small subunit ribosomal RNA
Source: RNAcentral
UACGGAGGGUGCAAGCGUUGUCCGGAAUUAUUGGGCGUAAAGAGCUCGUAGGCGGUUUGUCGCGUCUGCCGUGAAAGUCCGGGGCUCAACUCCGGAUCUGCGGUGGGUACGGGCAGACUAGAGUGAUGUAGGGGAGACUGGAAUUCCUGGUGUAGCGGUGAAAUGCGCAGAUAUCAGGAGGAACACCGAUGGCGAAGGCAGGUCUCUGGGCAUUAACUGACGCUGAGGAGCGAAAGCAUGGGGAGCGAACAGG